Long non-coding RNA from Aedes aegypti (yellow fever mosquito), 274 nucleotides. RefSeq lists it as uncharacterized. Lineage: Eukaryota; Metazoa; Arthropoda; Insecta; Diptera; Culicidae. The record is from RefSeq and is a predicted model, not a curated record. The transcript has 3 exons.
AGAUGCAGAAAAACAGCGAUGGGACAUUGUGCGGCCUACGGUUUAAGGAAACACUUCAACAAAAGGAGAAUUGAAGACCCGGCUACCGUCUGGGCCACAAGAAAAAUACGCAUCAAAAAUGAUUUCAAACCACGUCCGUAGCAACAUCUUCCUGUUACACCGACGGACUUGUACCCCGGCAGCAGCAUCACCAGAACACCAGAUAUAAUCCUCGGCAGGAUUAUAUCCAUAAUCCCGAUCCUUGCUUAAGGUGAUUAUAUACAGAAGCCACACC